UACGGAGGAUCCGAGCGUUAUCCGGAUUUAUUGGGUUUAAAGGGUGCGUAGGUGGAUUGGUAAGUCAGUGGUGAAAGUUUGCAGCUUAACUGUAAAAUUGCCGUUGAAGCUGCCGGUCUUGAGUGCAAAUGAGGUAGGCGGAAUGCGUCGUGUAGCGGUGAAAUGCUUAGAUAUGACGCAGAACUCCGAUUGCGAAGGCAGCUUACUGGGAUGCAACUGACGCUGAGGCACGAAAGCGUGGGUAUCAAACAGGAUUAGAUA
This 261-nucleotide ribosomal RNA is filed under the name uncultured prokaryote. RNAcentral's name for it is "partial 16S ribosomal RNA". It matches the Rfam family "Bacterial small subunit ribosomal RNA", at positions 524 to 784 of the family's 1533-position model. The record is from RNAcentral.